UACAGAGGGUGCAAGCGUUGUUCGGAAUUAUUGGGCGUAAAGCGCGUGUAGGCGGCUUUGCAAGUCGGGUGUGAAAGCCCUCAGCUUAACUGAGGAAGUGCGCCCGAAACUGCAGAGCUUGAGUACCGGAGAGGAUGGUGGAAUUCCCGAAGUAGAGGUGAAAUUCGUAGAUAUCGGGAGGAACACCGGUGGCGAAGGCGACCAUCUGGACGGAUACUGACGCUGAGACGCGAAAGCGUGGGUAGCAAACAGG
Molecule: ribosomal RNA, 253 nt
Filed under: uncultured bacterium
Lineage: Bacteria
Description: partial 16S ribosomal RNA
Rfam family: Bacterial small subunit ribosomal RNA
Source: RNAcentral